RNAcentral lists this ribosomal RNA (839 nucleotides) under uncultured archaeon. RNAcentral describes it as "bacterial SSU rRNA". It matches the Rfam family "Archaeal small subunit ribosomal RNA", at positions 21 to 859 of the family's 1478-position model. The record is from RNAcentral.
AGGUUACUGCUAUCGGUGUUCGCCUAAGCCAUGCGAGUCAUAUGUUCUUCGUGAACAUGGCGUACUGCUCAGUAACACGUGGAUAACCUGCCCUUGGGUCCGGCAUAACCCCGGGAAACUGGGGAUAAUUCCGGAUAACGCACAUAUGCUGGAAUGCUUUAUGCGUCAAAUGGAUUCGUCCGCCCAAGGAUGGGUCUGCGGCCCAUCAGGUAGUAGUGGGUGUAAUGUACCUACUAGCCUACGACGGGUACGGGUUGUGAGAGCAAGAGCCCGGAGAUGGAUUCUGAGACAUGAAUCCAGGCCCUACGGGGCGCAGCAGGCGCGAAAACUUUACAAUGCGGGAAACCGUGAUAAGGGGACACCGAGUGCCAGCAUCAUAUGCUGGCUGUCCGGGUGUGUAAAAUACACCUGUUAGCAAGGGCCGGGCAAGACCGGUGCCAGCCGCCGCGGUAACACCGGCGGCCCGAGUGGUGAUCGUGAUUAUUGGGUCUAAAGGGUCCGUAGCCGGUUUGGUCAGUCCUCCGGGAAAUCUGACGGCUUAACCGUUAGGCUUUCGGGGGAUACUGCCAGACUUGGAACCGGGAGAGGUAAGAGGUACUACAGGGGUAGGAGUGAAAUCUUGUAAUCCCUGUGGGACCACCUGUGGCGAAGGCGUCUUACCAGAACGGGUUCGACGGUGAGGGACGAAAGCUGGGGGCACGAACCGGAUUAGAUACCCGGGUAGUCCCAGCUGUAAACGAUACUCGCUAGGUGUCAGGCAUGGCGCGACCGUGUCUGGUGCCGCAGGGAAGCCGUGAAGCGAGCCACCUGGGAAGUACGGCCGCAAGGCUGAAACUUAA